Molecule: ribosomal RNA, 253 nt
Filed under: uncultured bacterium
Lineage: Bacteria
Description: partial 16S ribosomal RNA
Rfam family: Bacterial small subunit ribosomal RNA
Source: RNAcentral
UACGUAGGGCGCAAGCGUUGUCCGGAAUUAUUGGGCGUAAAGAGCUCGUAGGCGGCCUGUUGCGUCCGCUGUGAAAUCCCGGGGCUCAACCCCGGGCCUGCAGUGGAUACGGGCUGGCUAGAGGCAGGCAGGGGAGAACGGAAUUCCUGGUGUAGCGGUGAAAUGCGCAGAUAUCAGGAGGAACACCGGUGGCGAAGGCGGUUCUCUGGGCCUGUACUGACGCUGAGGAGCGAAAGCGUGGGGAGCAAACAGG